CACGCCGUAAACGAUGAUGACUAACUAUAGCCGUGAGGCUGUGGUGAAGCAAACGCAUUAAGUCAUCCGCCUGGGAAGUACGGUCGCAAGACUGAAACUUAAAGGAAUUGACGGGUCCCCGCACAAGCAGUGGAGCAUGAGGUUUAAUUCGACGCUACGCGAAGAACCUUACCAAGGCUUGACAUAUAGAGGAAACGGCCAGAGAUGGUCGCCCCGCAAGGUCUCUAUACAGGUGG
Molecule: ribosomal RNA, 236 nt
Filed under: uncultured bacterium
Lineage: Bacteria
Description: partial 16S ribosomal RNA
Rfam family: Bacterial small subunit ribosomal RNA
Source: RNAcentral